UGGUGGAGUGAUUUGUCUGCUUAAUUGCGAUAACGAACGAGACCUUAACCUGCUAAAUAGCCAGGCUAGCCUUGGCUGGUCGCCGGCUUCUUAGAGGGACUAUCGGCUCAAGCCGAUGGAAGUUUGAGGCAAUAACA
Molecule: ribosomal RNA, 137 nt
Filed under: uncultured eukaryote
Lineage: Eukaryota
Description: partial 18S ribosomal RNA
Rfam family: Eukaryotic small subunit ribosomal RNA
Source: RNAcentral